CUAAGUGGGUGGUAAACUCCAUCUAAAACUAAAUAUAACCAUGAGACCGAUAGUAAACAAGUACCGUGAGGGAAAGUUGAAAAGAACUCUGAAUAGAGAGUUAAAUAGUACGUGAAACUGCUUAGAGGUUAAGCCCGAUGAACCUGAAUAUCCAUUAUAGAAAAUUCAUCAUUAUGAUUUUAAUAUUUAUAAUAUUAUAAUAAUGGUGUGCAUUUUUUCUAUAAAAGGACAUUGUAAUCUAUUAACAUGCAAAUAUUUAUCAUAAGAUCAAUUGCAAAAGUUUAUUCAAAUUAUUUUGCUUGCAAUUUAACAUAGAAUAAAUGCUUUUGAUUUGAUAAAGUGUUGAUAGAUUUAUUAUAUAUAGUGCUUAAAUAUUUAUAUUUUAUAAUAGCAUAUUAAUCAUUGAUUUUUAUGUUUAUUAUAUGCACUUAUAUGAUUAACAAUGCGAAAGAUUCAGGAUACCUUCGGGACCCGUCUUGAAACACGGACCAAGGAGUCUAACAUAUUUGCAAGUUAUUGGGAAUAAAAACCCUAAUAGCGAAAUUAACAUAACUUAUUUAAUGGGAUUAAUUUUUAGCCUAUUUAUAGUCUA
This 592-nucleotide ribosomal RNA is filed under the name Paralucilia fulvinota. RNAcentral describes it as "partial large subunit ribosomal RNA". It matches the Rfam family "Eukaryotic large subunit ribosomal RNA", at positions 288 to 768 of the family's 3401-position model. Lineage: Eukaryota; Metazoa; Arthropoda; Insecta; Diptera; Calliphoridae. The record is from RNAcentral.